GCUUUAAUUAACCGACCCAAAGAGAUCUUGAUAAUCAACCGACAGGGAUAACAUACCUCUACCAUGGGCCGACAAUUUAGGUUGGGGUGACCUCGGAGAAUAAAACAACCUCCGAGUGAUUUAAAUCUAGACUAACUAGUCGAAAGUACUACAUCACUUAUUGAUCCAAAAACUUGAUCAACGGAACAAGUUACC
Molecule: ribosomal RNA, 195 nt
Filed under: Panthera onca (jaguar)
Lineage: Eukaryota; Metazoa; Chordata; Mammalia; Carnivora; Felidae
Description: partial 16S ribosomal RNA
Source: RNAcentral